Molecule: ribosomal RNA, 398 nt
Filed under: uncultured bacterium
Lineage: Bacteria
Description: partial 16S ribosomal RNA
Rfam family: Bacterial small subunit ribosomal RNA
Source: RNAcentral
AUACGUAGGGUGCGAGCGUUGUCCGGAAUUACUGGGCGUAAAGAGCUCGUAGGUGGUUUGUCGCGUCGUCUGUGAAAUUCCGGGGCUUAACUCCGGGCGUGCAGGCGAUACGGGCAUAACUUGAGUACUGUAGGGGAGACUGGAAUUCCUGGUGUAGCGGUGAAAUGCGCAGAUAUCAGGAGGAACACCGGUGGCGAAGGCGGGUCGCUGGGCAGUAACUGACGCUGAGGAGCGAAAGCAUGGGUAGCGAACAGGAUUAGAUACCCUGGUAGUCCAUGCCGUAACCGGUGGGCGCUAGGUGUAGGGGUCUUCCACGACUUCUGUGCUGUAGCUAACGCAUUAAGCGCCCCGCCUGGGGAGUACGGCCGCAAGGCUAAAACUCAAAGGAAUUGACGGGG